CCUACGGGAGGCAGCAGUGAGGAAUAUUGCGCAAUGGAGGCAACUCUGACGCAGCCAUGCCGCGUGCAGGAAGACGGCCCUACGGGUUGUAAAUCUGCUUUUAUCCGGGAAGAAACCCCAGGACGUGUCCUGGGUUGACGGUACCGGAGGAAUAAGCACCGGCUAACUCCGUGC
This 174-nucleotide ribosomal RNA is filed under the name uncultured bacterium. Its description in RNAcentral is "partial 16S ribosomal RNA". It matches the Rfam family "Bacterial small subunit ribosomal RNA", at positions 338 to 508 of the family's 1533-position model. The record is from RNAcentral.